UUUUACAAUGAGAAACUGAUCCUCAGAGAAUUUCACUUACUUGCCCAAAUACACACAGCUAGUAAGUGGUGGAACAAGGAAUUCAGGCCAGUCCUUAUCUGUCUCCAAAGUCCAUCCUACAGUCCCAAUACCAGCAUGUCCCAAAUGGUGCUACACCGGCCAAGAUCCUCCUCCUUAUCCAGAACACCGACGAUGCUUCUACACACCCGAGGCCACACUGCGCUGCCAGAUGACUGACAACCCUUUCUUUUGAGCAGUCCUGGUUUCCUACCAACGUGCCCGAGACCCACUGGUUCCUCCGCCUCCUGAACAAAGACCGCUGAGUGGUUAGCUGCUGAAUUGCCAUGGCUACUUGACAACAGCCCAUCCAGGGUCCCCUCUUCACUGGCUCCUCCUUUGACCCAAUCAGCACACGGCCAGACCUUUCUGAGUCCCCUACCUACAUCCCUGAUCCUUUGACCUGGUAUCUUCCUUUGCUGCAAGCAGGCUAAUAAAAUGAACGGUGCCAUUGCAA
Molecule: long non-coding RNA, 514 nt
Organism: Eptesicus fuscus (big brown bat)
Lineage: Eukaryota; Metazoa; Chordata; Mammalia; Chiroptera; Vespertilionidae
Exons: 2
Source: RefSeq, a predicted model, not a curated record